RNAcentral lists this ribosomal RNA (256 nucleotides) under uncultured bacterium. RNAcentral's name for it is "partial 16S ribosomal RNA". It matches the Rfam family "Bacterial small subunit ribosomal RNA", at positions 524 to 776 of the family's 1533-position model. The record is from RNAcentral.
UACGUAGGUGGCGAGCGUUGUCCGGAAUUACUGGGCGUAAAGAGCGCGCAGGCGGCUGGUCAAGUUCGACGUGAAAUCUCCCGGCUUAACUGGGAAAUUGCAUCGGAAACUGAUCGGCUUGAAGGUGGGAGAGGGUAGCGGAAUUCCCGGUGUAGUGGUGAAAUGCGCAGAUGAUCGGGAAGAACGACCCGUGGCGAAGGCGGCUCACUGGCCCGAUACUGACGCUGAGGCACGAAAGCGUGGGGGAGCAAACAGG